RNAcentral lists this ribosomal RNA (765 nucleotides) under uncultured Candidatus Poseidoniales archaeon. RNAcentral describes it as "bacterial SSU rRNA". It matches the Rfam family "Archaeal small subunit ribosomal RNA", at positions 1 to 772 of the family's 1478-position model. The record is from RNAcentral. Lineage: Archaea; Methanobacteriati; Thermoplasmatota; Candidatus Poseidoniia; Candidatus Poseidoniales.
UUCCGGUUGAUCCUGCCGGAGGCUACCGCUAUUGGAGUUCGAUUAAGCCAUGCGAGUCGCGAGAAAUUAGAUUCUCGGCGUACCGCUCAGUAACACGUGGGUAACCUGCCCUAUGCUGGAUAAUAACCUCGGGAAACUGAGAAUAAUGAUCCAUAGUUCACUACGCCUGGAACGGUGAGUGGAUGAAAGCUCCGGCGGCAUAGGAUGGGCCUGCGGCGUAUCAGGUUGUAGGGGGUGUAACGUACCCUCUAGCCCUCUACGCGUACGGGUGUUGGGAGACAUAGCCCGGAGAUGGAUUCUGAGACACGAAUCCAGACCCUACGGGGUGCAGCAGGCGCGAAAACUUGGCAAUGCGAGAAAUCGUGACCAGGGAACUCCAAGUGCAUCGGGUAAGACCGGUGCUUUUCUUGACUCUAAAUAGGUCUUGGAAUAAGGGGUGGGUAAGGACGGUGCCAGCCGCCGCGGUAAUACCGGCGCCUCAAGUGGUAGUCGCUUUUAUUGGGCCUAAAACGUCCGUAGCCGGUCUGAUACAUUCGUGGGUAAAUCAACCAGCUUAACUGGUUGAAUUCUGCGAGGACGGUCAGACUUGGGACCGGGAGAGGUGUGGGGUACGCUCAGGGUAGGGGUAAAAUCCUGUCAUCCUGAGCGGACCACCUGUUGCGAAGGCGCCACACUAGAACGGAUCCGACGGUCAGGGACGAAGCCUAGGGCACGAACCGGAUUAGAUACCCGGGUAGUCCUAGGUGUAAACGCUGUGGACUUGAU